This 1634-nucleotide long non-coding RNA is filed under the name Lynx pardinus (Iberian lynx). The record is from RNAcentral. Lineage: Eukaryota; Metazoa; Chordata; Mammalia; Carnivora; Felidae.
CUAGUACAGAAGCCAUUUAUAUAGUUUUUUACACGUUGGUGUGGAUAUUGGUUUGUUGAAGGAACCAGGUUUGUACUCAUUUUUAUUUUUGGUACUGUGGAUUUUUCAUAAACGAUUUUUUUAGGGCAGUUUUUUUAGGUUUACAGCAAUAUUGAGCAGAAGAUGCAGAGAUUUCCUGUAUACCCCCUGCCCGCGCCCAUGUACUUUGUAAAUAUUUUAAUAGUAUUAAUAGUCAAUAUUUUAAGUAUCAAUUUGGCAUUGAUAAUUCAGAUGUAGAAUAUGGCCAGUAAUUUCUUGAUACCUUGUUAGUUGAGCUUGUAGUUUAAAAAGUAAUCAGUGGACCCUUUCCAAAGGAAAAUAAGCCUUGCAGACCUCAAAGAAUAUGUCUUCCAACCACACUUUGUGGAAGAGUGGUACUUAAGUGUAAGUACUGAAUUAAAGCAACAUUUCUUUGCACAUUAAAAACAUAAAUGUAUAAUUAUUAAUUUAGCAACUCUUAUUUGAUAAGAUUGCAUUAAAUGUUGUAACUUUGAGUAUCUCUGAAAAUAUUAGAUAUAAAUUGCCUUAAGGAAAUAAGAUUUCUCAGCAGUUAAUACUGAUAAUCCCUAAACAUUCUAAAUAAAUGUGUUUUUAUUUUCUUUAUUGUCAUUUGGGUUUUCUCAGUGCAGGACAGCUUAAAAUGGAAUAAACUUGUUAGCAUAAUAAGAUUCUUAUUUGAACAUUUUCUGUUUGGCUUAGGAUGAAUUUAGUAGUAAUUGUUUUAGGAGUUUAAGAUAAGGAUUAGUAGCAGAGAUUUUUUAUUUUAUGGGUAUUUUAGUGUUUGCCUUAAUUAUAUUAGAAUCAGGAAAUUUAAUUCCAUGUUUGGAAGUGUGAGCUAUAUGUGUAUAACUUAAAAUUUGUAUUCAAAUGGGUAGCCAUUGGUUUGAAUUUAUUACUUUAAAAAUUGGUUUUUGAAUUCAAAACAUUAGUAUUUUGUUCAUUUAUUGUAUCAUUUUGAAUGGUUGCCUUAUUAGUUUGAUUUGGUCUUAUAUUUUAAAAGGGAGGAAAACUGCAAGAGAGUUGGACAUAAGGAGCUAGGUGUUUGGUUUUCUCAUGAGUGGAAGUGACAGAAGUUUUUUUGGGAACUUUUGAUGUGUUUAAAUUGACCUUUUACUUGUAGAACACUUGUCUUUUUUUUUUUUUUUAAGUGGAUGUAAAAUUUAUAUACAGUGAAAUGCACAGACUUUAAGGAUAGUAUUCAUUUGAUAAGUUUAUACUCCCAUGUAACCAACACUCUAAUCAAAAUGUAUAACACUUUCAUCACCCCUUUGCUCUUGCCACUUCCAAUCAAGGAGCUAUUUAAUUUCCAGGAGAUUUUUGUUUUUAAAUAAUUUGCAGAUGUCUGCCUGGAAUUUGUACUUCGUUUUUGCUGAAGGAUGAUUAAUUUCCCCUUGGAACAAAGAAGACCAUUUUGUAAUGUCCAUAGUUGUGGUUCCGUAUAUUGCUUCACUUUUAAUAGGUAAUUCUGAAGGGAAUAUCCUAAUCUGGCGUGUUUAAGAUCAAUUACAGGGUCCAAGGAUUAAUUAUAUUUCAUUUUCUUUCCACAGUUAAGUUGCUUUUACAGAAUUAACAGGUCUCCAAGAAAUUUUAAAAAG